CUACAGGCUUAACACAUGCAAGUCGAGGGGCAGCAUUCCAGUUUGCUUGCAAACUGGAGAUGGCGACCGGCGCACGGGUGAGUAACACGUAUCCAACCUGCCGAUAACUCGGGGAUAGCCUUUCGAAAGAAAGAUUAAUACCCGAUGGCAUAAUAGAACCGCAUGGUUUGAUUAUUAAAGAAUUUCGGUUAUCGAUGGGGAUGCGUUCCAUUAGGCAGUUGGUGGGGUAACGGCCCACCAAACCUUCGAUGGAUAGGGGUUCUGAGAGGAAGGUCCCCCACAUUGGAACUGAGACACGGUCCAAACUCCUACGGGAGGCAGCAGUGAGGAAUAUUGGUCAAUGGACGAGAGUCUGAACCAGCCAAGUAGCGUGAAGGAUGACUGCCCUAUGGGUUGUAAACUUCUUUUAUAUGGGAAUAAAGUGGUCCACGUGUGGAUUUUUGUAUGUACCAUAUGAAUAAGGAUCGGCUAACUCCGUGCCAGCAGCCGCGGUAAUACGGAGGAUCCGAGCGUUAUCCGGAUUUAUUGGGUUUAAAGGGAGCGUAGGUGGACAGUUAAGUCAGUUGUGAAAGUUUGCGGCUCAACCGUAAAAUUGCAGUUGAUACUGGCUGUCUUGAGUACAGUAGAGGUGGGCGGAAUUCGUGGUGUAGCGGUGAAAUGCUUAGAUAUCACGAAGAACUCCGAUUGCGAAGGC
RNAcentral lists this ribosomal RNA (694 nucleotides) under uncultured Bacteroidales bacterium. RNAcentral's name for it is "bacterial SSU rRNA". It matches the Rfam family "Bacterial small subunit ribosomal RNA", at positions 40 to 722 of the family's 1533-position model. The record is from RNAcentral. Lineage: Bacteria; Pseudomonadati; Bacteroidota; Bacteroidia; Bacteroidales.